UCCGUUUUUAUUUAGUUCGCGUAUUAGCUUUGGUCAAAGUCAAGCUUUGUAAACUUUGACCAAAUUUAUAGACAAAAAUAUUGGCAUAUAUAAUAACAAAUCAAUAUCACUAGAUUCAUUGUUGAAUGUACUUCAACAUCAUAUAGAUUUGUAAUGGUAAAUAUUUAUAAUCUUUUCUAUAAACUUGGUCAAACUUUAGAAAGUUUGACUUCAGUCAACUCUAAUAUGCAGAGUAAAUAAAAACGGAGGGAGUAAUAUAAUACUACAAUGAUGGUGCAAACUAAAGUCUAAAUCAUCAAUGGCAAAUCCACGGCACACAAAAAUUCUUCUCCAUAAUCGAUUUGCUCUCUUCGUCCAAAUGCCCAAACUCAUCACAACAUAGCAGAAUAGCCUGAAUGGAAUAAACCAUAUCUGAACCAUCAUAUGCAAUACACGAACCAUGUACUGAACUUAAUUGAUAUAUUGCUACUGAACAUAGCAGAUUAGUCUCUAUGUGCAUGUAUUACUAAUUUACAGCUGAGCAGCCACUCUAAUGUAAUGAACUUAAGAACUGUUUGUUCCUCUUAAGCAACCCUGCAGUUUUCAUGAAAACUUUGGCUGUAGUGGUCCUAAAAUCCACUUGGAGAUUCUUUGCAGCUUCCUCUCCAUGUUGCCGGACCAAUCUGCAGAUAAAAAAGGAUAAGGUAAAUAAUUGUUGUUUUGUUUGCCAAUAAUCAAACAACUAUGAUAUAGUAAGAAAAAAGUUAGUGGAGGUAUAGGAAGGACAAGUAGUUCUACUACACACAGAUGAUUAGGGGUCAGAGGGAAUUCAAGAUAAACCAAGACAAACUUCAAAAUUCAGUCCUACAGUUGAACAUCAAAUUCAAAUCAAACGGGGAAGAAUCAAUGGGUCAGGGGUAAGGAUGCAAGUGUGUGUGUGUNNNNNNNNNNAAACCCGCAAAACGGCGCCGGGCCAACCACAUCAUGUCAAGCGGUCUCAAAUAGUCCGACCACUUUGUCUAGCGGACGUCGCACAGUCUCGCGUAUCCUACGAAAGGGAGAAAACUCUCCUGAGAAUUCCUGUCCUUCUCGACGCGAUAGAGGUGCACGACUGUAUUGUAUAACAGGUUCAUCCCACACAGCGUGCACUCCUCAAUUUGUGCCCCAGCGACAACACCAGGCAUGCCACGGAGCUCAUGAUGACCCAGUUGGUCCGGCUGUGCGCAUCAGCUGAGGGCGGGUGGUUGUGGUGGCGCACCCGGUGGCAAAGAGUGUGAUGCGGCAAUGAGUGUGCGGCGUGUCCACGGCGGGCGGCGAGGCGGCGCUGCCGCAGUAGGUGCUGGAGAUUGUUCAUGUGCGUGCAAUAGGGAACCUGAUCAGGACCUGAAUAAUACGGCAAAGGAUACACUCUCGCCGGUGUGUGUGGUGCAAGUCAGCUUGUACCAAUGCCUACCUGCUCUAUAUUUAGCCAUCCGUCACAGUUGCAUGGCGCAUCUUGUGUAGGUUAGCUAUAAGAUGUACUCCGUAGGACGACGAACGCCCGCGUUAGCCAGUGCGGGCUGGUCGCUGCUCGCUCCGCUUGCAUCCAGAGUCAGGGGUAGGGAUUGAAGGGAGAAACCCGCUGGCAGAGCGCCACCAUCAGGAGGACGCGCAAUCGCCGGGUGCGCAUCACCAUCAGGAAAAACGAGCCUCUACUCAGACCGGCGAGGGCAGGGACCGCCACGUGCAACUACUGGGAGGAUGAACGAAUCAAUGUGGCAGCCAUCGGCGACCGGCUCGUGGGGCGAACCAAGGACGGCAGAUCUAUGUUGUGUGGGCUGCUACCAGCCUACCACUCGUUGGCGGCGGAGAAGAUCUACAGGGGCGAGGGGAGCGGGCCAUCAAGUGGGGGCGAAUCGAGAUCUGAAGGGAGGGGUACUCACCGACAUGGCCAGAGUCGCGAGAUCGCCAAGACGGGGGCUGCCGAGUUCGAUUGGCCGGAGUCUCGGGCUUGGGCUUUGGCGAUGCCUUGGCGCGCCUCGGACGGACCCAGCUCAUUCGCGACCGGUGCCCGGACCCGUCUGGUUGGUGCUUGCGCACGACGACCCUGACGGGAUGAUGACCAGAAGCCGCCGCCGCC
RNAcentral lists this long non-coding RNA (2098 nucleotides) under Triticum aestivum (bread wheat). RNAcentral describes it as "long non-coding RNA (TAES_LNC004751)". Lineage: Eukaryota; Viridiplantae; Streptophyta; Magnoliopsida; Poales; Poaceae. The record is from RNAcentral.